GCACCUGUGGCAUAUGGAAGUUCCCAGGCUCGGGGUCGAUCCAGAGCUACAGCUGCAAGCCUACACCACAGUCACAGCAACAAGGGAUCUGAGCCGAGUCUGUGACCUACACUCCAACUCAUGGCAAUGCCGGAUCCUUAAUCCACUGAGUGAGGUCACAGAUCAAACCCGCAUCCUUAUGAAUACUAGUUGGAUUCGUUUCUGCCGCACCACCAUGGGAACUCCCUUUGUGCAUCUUUAUGACGCUUAUAUUAUUUGCCCCACGCUUCUAGUGAAUAAAUCUGUAAGGAUGAUGUGAGGGACACAGGCCAUGCAGCCAGAGUGGGCUUCCCUGAGCUUGGAGGCCGGCUGGCUGGCUGCAAAGCACGUCCUUGCCUCAGUAUUUCCCUGCCGCUGGGCAUCCCCCUGAGCCCUGGCUUUCUGAAACCACAUACGGGUCCAGCACCGUCGUGUUGGCUGCAGGUCUCGCUGCUGGUCGCACGGGGGUUGAGGAUUCUACCAAAUUCCAAAGGUACACACACACAUUCAUACACACACAGACACGUAGUCUAUAGUCCAGGGAAAACUCUGUAGGAUCUGAGCACAUCCCUCUGGAUAUCCUUCACAGUAAGUAUAUUUGAUUUUUAGAGAUGAAUGGAAAGCAUGUGGAGUCUGCGACAUUGUGAGGCAUAAGAAGAGAUCUACGUCCAGUCUCAUUCCUGGUCCCUGACCCAAGGCUCCUAAAACCCCUGUAAAUUCCUAAGUAACAAGAGCACUAGGAGCAACUUUGUUCUAAUGAGGAGACUCUGGAGGGGGUCGUGGAUGGGGCUGGUCAACAGGAAGACCACGCCAUACUUAGAAGCUUGGAAUGUGCAGUCCCCUCCCGCUUCUCCAGCAAGGGGAGAGGGGCUAGAAAUGGAGUUCAUGCUUGAUCGCGCCUCCGCAGGGCAACUGCCAUAAAAUGCCCAUGGCAUGGGAUUCAGAGAGCUUCCAGGCAUAUGGACACGUCCACCAGGAGGAGGAGGCACCCCAAGUCCCCAGAAACAGAAGCUCCUGGGCUCCGGAUUCUCCCAGGCUUUGCCCCGCGUACCUCUUCCUCUGGCUGUUCAUCUGCAGCCUUUACCGUAUCCUUAAUGAGCUGGUAAGUGGAAGCGAAUGUUCCCCUAAGCGCUGUGAGCUGCUCUAGUAAAUUAUCCCAACCCAAGGAGGGAAUGCAGGAACCUCCGAUUCGUGGCCAAGUUAGACAGAAGGUGUGGGUCACCGGGGACCUAGCCUUGUGAUUGGCCUCGGACGUGGGGUGGGGGGGCAGUCUCCUGCGACUGAGCCCUUCACCUGAGGGAUCGGAUGCUAUUUCCAGGUAGACAGUCUCAGAACGGAGUUAAACUGCAGGACACCCAGCUGCUGUCAGAGAAUUGCUUGCUGACCAGACGGGUCAGACGUGAAGCAGUCUGUGUGACAGUAAAGGAUAAAGAUAGGAAAAAAAAAAAAAAGACUCAGUUUCUCCAAUACAGAGCAUUUGUAUGCUCUGGUUUCAUGGGCUGUGGAUUUAUUUAGUGGAUAAGGUGGUGAAGUGGGUAGUCAGGGUGGGGAAGGAAUGACAGAAGAAAGGUAUGAAUACAUGGAUGUAUUCAUGUCUUCUACCGCCCACCCUGAGCCCAGUACCCCACCUGGGACUGCUGCCCAGGUCCCCAGCUCGUCUAUGGCCACACUACAGGCAGAUGCUCUUAUCAUCCUUUUCCAGGGGAGGAAACCAAGGUCAGAAGAGAGAAAACUCCUCCACUAGUUAGUGGCAAAACUGGAACUGGAAUCUAAUGAGAGCUUUCUUGGGUCAAAACUUAAAAGACACACAAAGAAAGAUGCACGUGACUGCUGCAAAGCAAGGAGAUGAUUUUCUAAUAUGGCUCCAAGAACUGGCCCUGCAGGUAAUUUUAAACCCAUGAAUCUGAAAAUGUUUUGAGAAAUGGCAGCAGCAUCAUAAUAAAACUAAAGUUCCCAAGGAGACCAGCAUGAUGGGAACAAAUAUCUCGCUUGCCAGCCUCUGCAUUAUUUUUGUUUGAAGGCAGAGAAUGUUCUAGUGUGCACACCCACAGCAUAUGGAGCUUCCCAGGCUAGGGGUCAAACCAGAGCUAGAACUGCUGGGUUACACCACAGUCACAGCAACAUGGGAUCCAAACCGCGUCUUCGACCUACUACAUCAUAGUUCAUGGCAACACUGGAUCUUUAACCCACUGAGUGAGGCCAGGGAUUGAACCCGUGUCCUCAUGGGUACUAGUAGGGUUCAUUUCCACUGAGCAAUGACGGGAACUCCCUGGAUAUGAUUCUGGCACCAGUUUGGACCCGAAAGAUCUUUGUCAGCACCCUCACUCCAGGCAGGUGAAGCUCGGCUUCGGAGAUGGAGAGUUACUUGCUCAAGUUCACAAGGUGAAUUUAGGCAGAGCCUUGACUAACACCCAAGUGCUUGAGAAGGCAGAGCUGCCUCCCUGCAGCACACUGCUUGUUCCCCUCUGGUAAAGCUCCCUAACAACAAUAGUUAACGUUUAAACACACACACACACACAAACCAAGAAACUUUCUGGAGUUCCCGCUAUGGUGCAGUGGGUUAAGAAUCCCACUGCGGAGGUGCAGGUUCAAUCUCCAGCCCAGCGCAGUGGGGUAAAGGAUCUGGCAUUGCUGCAGAUGUGGUAAAGGUCGCAGCUGCAGCUUGGAUUCAGUCCCUGGCCCAGAACUGCCAUAUGCCCUGAGGCAGCCAUUAAAAACACACACACACACACACACAAAACCAUUCUACAAUAAACCAAGGCCCAGAGAAAUUAAAUAGUAGGGCCAUGUUAUAGAAUUAGGAAAUAGAGGCUCCAGGAUUUGAACCCAGGUCUGCCCACCUCUAGAACCCAUGCGUUUAAACAACCACCUCCUUUUGUCCCAGCUCCCUCGCCCUCUUCCUCUUCGGUCCCCCAGGAGCCUGGGAUAAGGCGCAUUCCACUUAAGCUCACCUUCCCCCCCCAACCAGUCACUUCCCUUCUUUUCUUGUUUAUCAACACAAAUAGCCUGUCCUCCUGGCACGUUUGUUUUGUCGGAGGCCUGCCUUAUUCCCUGGGAACCUGGGGGAACAAUGAGCACGGCCGAGCCGUCCGGAGCCCCGCCCCCAUCCUGGACGGCUUCCUCAGCUUCCCCUGCGCACGCCUGACCCCAGCAGAGACUGCGUGGAGGCCCCUCCAGCUUGUCUUGCAAAGUGCGUCAAUCACUUGUUUACUUGCUUUUCCUGCCUGACCCUGGGGGUUCCGCUGGUGUUGCUUCCCUCUGGAGGUUCUCUGGGGGUGAGCUUUGAUCUCCAGAGGGGAAGGGGCAGCAGGAAGACUGCGGCCAGAGAUGCUAGGAGUCUGUCAGCAUCUGACUCAUUCUGGCUGGGGGCGGGGGGAGCCCUCUCUUCAAGUAGCUUGAGGAUGCUGGUGAGAGCUGCCCAGCUCUGCCAGGCCCUGGAUGGAGGCCUUCCUUUUCUCUGGGACGGUUGGAAGAGGGAUAAAAAUUCCACACGUCAGAAGUAAAUUCCCCCAGGCCUUUCUGCCCUGAGCCAGCAGUAGGGCUCAUCGACUAAUAAACUGGUGUACAACCUGUCCCCUGAAAAGCCACAGCUGCAGGCCCCCCAUUGGAGGGAGAUGUUCUUAGAUGUGCCCCUUCCUUUGGAAAAGGCUGCUCGUAAAAACAACCCUCCAUACGGUCGGAUUUGAGAACCGGAAGGGAAGCGCCUCUGCAACGCUGCCUGAAACACCACCCCAUUAGACAGCUAUUUCUUUGGGCUCCUGAGGGCUUUCUGAUCCUCCAAAUCCAUAUUAACCCGAAAAUGUAAUCUAAAUAUUAAAACAUCGGUCGGCAUCCCAGCAGGAAAUAGAAGGGACACUCAAAAAUGUUGACUUUUAACUGGUAACUGCAGGUUACCAGUGAACUGAAGGUACAUGAUUUUGUGACUUCACAGGAUGGCUCUGCUUGCUAUGUAAAUUCUUACUAACAAG
Molecule: long non-coding RNA, 3986 nt
Filed under: Sus scrofa (pig)
Lineage: Eukaryota; Metazoa; Chordata; Mammalia; Artiodactyla; Suidae
Description: lncRNA (ENSSSCG00015005715.1)
Source: RNAcentral